CAAUGCGCGCAAGCUAGAUGCAGCCACGCCGCGUGCCGGAUGAAGGCCUUCGGGUUGUAAACCCCUGUCAGCAGGAAAGAAGCGAAAGUGACGGUACCUGCAGAAGAAGCGCCGGCUAACUACGUGCCAGCAGCCGCGGUAAUACGUAGGGCGCAAGCGUUGUCCGGAAUUAUUGGGCGUAAAGAGCUCGUAGGCGGUUUGUCGCGUCUGCUGUGAAAACCCGAGGCUCAACCUCGGGCCUGCAGUGGGUACGGGCAGACUAGAGUGCGGUAGGGGAGACUGGAAUUCCUGGUGUAGCGGUGGAAUGCGCAGAUAUCAGGAGGAACACCGAUGGCGAAGGCAGGUCUCUGGGCCGCAACUGACGCUGAGGAGCGAAAGCAUGGGGAGCGAACAGGAUUAGAUACCCUGGUAGUCCAUGCCGUAAACGUUGGGCACUAGGUGUGGGGCUCAUUCCACGAGUUCCGUGCCGCAGCUAACGCAUUAAGUGCCCCGCCGGGGAGUACGGCCGCAAGAG
RNAcentral lists this ribosomal RNA (514 nucleotides) under uncultured Actinomycetes bacterium. RNAcentral's name for it is "bacterial SSU rRNA". It matches the Rfam family "Bacterial small subunit ribosomal RNA", at positions 369 to 894 of the family's 1533-position model. Lineage: Bacteria; Bacillati; Actinomycetota; Actinomycetes. The record is from RNAcentral.